UUGCCGGUAAAUACAUACGCUCCCCACUGGUCAACUUAUGGGCGACGAAGCAGUUGGCAACAUUGCUAAAAAAUCUCGACCCCUUGAUCCUUCGUGCCAGAUUCCAAUGAUCGUGUUUUUCUUUACCGCUUCCGCAGGACUUUCGGAUCGACGGUGAUCCUGUCUGUAAGUGAACAAUACUGGAGAUCAUUCGAACGGCAGAUUGAAUGGCUGAUUUGUCAUUGCGCGCCAUUUGGUUUUCGAUUAAUCUUGACUCGAUGUCCAAAAUUUGCCAGAAGAGAUCAAGCUGGAUCGGAUUAUGUUUGGGUGAACAAGCUCUUGAAGGGAAAUACCACUAAAGCGAUUGCAGUUUCUCGUUAAGGUGUGACCCAAUUAGCAGUUUAAACGCUUAGAUCUGAGGUAAGAAUUUGCAGUAAGCUCUUAAAUAUCGUAUCAAUUAGAAAGUGGAUAUUAAGCAGUCGGGAAAAUGUUACGAGCAGCGCGCAUAAAGGCAAACGUUGGCCAGGUAUGUAAUUAGCGGUGCGUCCGGAUGUCUUUAAGAAACGCUUUAGGUCGCAGGAAUUUUAAGUACACGAAGUAAUAAAGCGUACGUAAAAGACGCAUAAUGAACGAACGAUAGUGACUGGAAUAUUUUGAAUGGAUGUGGGCUUGGUUCGCCACGAAAAUAAAGAAUAAGCGAUUGAACGAGUCGAACAUGAUUUUGGAAAAUCCAGACACGUAGACCUCGACCCGAAGACAACGUCGUUAUAAAUUAACUCGUUGCUCCCUAACGAUAUUUCUUUUUGUACGAGUUUAUUUUAAAGUGGUCACGUUAACAAUGGAGUCAUUAGCGACCACUUAUCCCCAUACAGUGGUUACAUACAUGGAUAUUUGGUUACUAAGCGUUCAUAAUCUUACGAACAUCUAACCUAUGCGCAUAAUUUGAUACUCGUUAUCGUUUAUAAGGAGAUUUCGUGUUACCAUCUAUAUAAAAAUGUUACUCUUGGUAAACACGUUUUAUCUCUUUUAAAUCCUGUAAAGAUUCGUGGAAAACAAUGCACGCUACCCACUAAAAUAGUUAUCGAGCGUUAAAAAUAGAGCAUAAAUUUAAAAUACACGUGGAGAAGAAAGUAUAAUAGAAUUUUUAAUAAAAUUAGAGUUUCGAAUUAAAUUACAAGCGAUAGCUAAUUCUUGGAGAGAAGUCGGUACGCGUUUAGCCAAGUGGUUAAUGGGUUAAAGCGUGGCGAACCGAGACGCGUAGCAGCCUCGUGAUUCCGUGUGCCUAAAUUUACGCACAGCAGAUGUAAUAAAGCGUGUGCACGCCGUUUUACGGUAUCCUCUAUCCGGGAUUCCGAAUAAGCAGCGACGCAACCGGCCGAUUACGUCGCUUUGAACCGAUGCCAGCCACCUUUCUGCGAUUCUCCGAACGCACCAAGGUGCGACCGCGCCGUGGAGGAACGUUCCUGGGACAACGUUUCUCGAAUCGAGGAAUUCGCCUCCCCGUCGUUCGAUUCUCUGCAUUUUUUCCCCAUGAAUCGAUGAUCCAUGAAUGAUCCGAAUACUUUAAUGUCUAUACUCUGAUAUACAGUUUGUAUCGCGUAAUACGAUUCUUCGAUUCGUUUCAACGACCACCUCGAUGUAACAAGAACAGAAAUACGUCGGUAUAUCCUGAAGAAAGUAAUUAUUGCUAUCGAGAGAUUUGGAACUCGAACGACGAAUGAACGCAUUGGUAUUGGUUUCUUUCCUUUGUUCUGUUGUUAGAUGUUGAGUAUCCUUUAUGAGUGACGAACAAGAUGCAGACGUAAACUUUUACGAAGUGAAAUAACAAGCGAAAAUGUUGAUUACGCUGAACCGUUGGAGGUAUUUCAGGCACAAAGAGAAUGUAACGCUAGAGGUUUAUUUGAGUUAAAAAACUUAGCUAAUUCAACGGUAAGAAAUAUAUAGAACUCUGGAGUACUAAAACAAACUGACAAUACGCUUCAUCUCUAUUUAAAUAAAUGAAAUUUAAUACCAAAGUACCAGACAUUUUAUUCUCCUAUUUUAGCUCUACCGUAUUUUGAGAAGACUCUGUCGGUGGUUAACUUAGGCUACGUAACCCGGUCGUUUCAUUCGCACAUAAAAAAAAAAUUCCACAUUCGCAAUGUAGAAUCCUUUCUCGUUCGGCUUUCACUGGGUAUCGUCGUUUCGAGCGUCUGAAAUUAUACCCUGGGACGAAGAUUGCUUGUAAAUCGAAUAGAAAUUGAGACAACUGGGUGUUCUAGUCUUCUUCCACGGGAUAGAAAGCCGGACGAAUGUAUCCAUAACUCACCACCGUAUCAAUUCCAAUGGAACUUGUUUCGCCACUUUUAAUUUUCCUUAAACUUCUUAUCGGCCACCGUAUCGUUAAAACGUAGAAAAAAUUUAAUUAAAUUUCCUGCUGAAAAUAAUUAUCUUCAAAGUCAUCAUACGUCCUCUCGUCGAAGAUCGAGAAAGCGAUGGAUCGUGUACGAUGCGUCAGGAUGUACACUAUCGUUCAUAAGUAUUUAGACGUCGAAUAACUAGAGAAGUACGUAUUUCUAUUAUUCGAAAACCCUAAUAUCGAGGAAACGUAGUGUUCGUCAAGACCAUCCGACUUGUCGUUAAAUUGAUUAUUAUCACGAUCAUCAAACAUUAGCAGACAAACUGCAAGAAUACGAAAUAACACAUCCAAAGGAAUCAGAAACAUUCGUUUGAACGUAUACUGCCAUAAUUAUUUGGCUACCUGACAUUACAGAAAGUUGAAGAUGUUUUCUAUAAUAUUUUUCUAUAAUAUUUUCUAUAGUAUUUGCAGUAAGUGCGCGAGUAUUCAAAAGUCUGGAAUACUUAUGAACGGUAGUGUAUCACGAGUAUGUGGCGGAGCACGUCGUUGCUUUCGCGGCAGAUCGAGCCUCGUUCAAGGCUACCAGCUUCUAACUUCGCGUGUUUACCGACGUCAAGUCAGGACCAGGCAUCUCCGCAAGUAGGCUCCAUCGGGUGAAAUUCGAGAGAGGAGAUCACGAACGGGUGAACGGUUAUUCUCGAUGAAUGAUCGCAACUCGAUGUGACUUAUUGCCAGGAGAUUCUCGCAUUCGACGAACCAGUCAACAUACAAACAGAGUAAUC
Molecule: long non-coding RNA, 3099 nt
Organism: Bombus huntii
Lineage: Eukaryota; Metazoa; Arthropoda; Insecta; Hymenoptera; Apidae
Exons: 3
Source: RefSeq, a predicted model, not a curated record